This 202-nucleotide non-coding RNA is filed under the name Lentilactobacillus buchneri. Its description in RNAcentral is "Lactobacillus buchneri T-box sequence". It matches the Rfam family "T-box leader". Rfam says of the family: Uncharged tRNA acts as the effector for transcription antitermination of genes in the T-box leader family. T-boxes are found upstream of many aminoacyl-tRNA synthetase genes and some amino acid biosynthetic genes usually in Gram-positive bacteria. Lineage: Bacteria; Bacillati; Bacillota; Bacilli; Lactobacillales; Lactobacillaceae. The record is from RNAcentral.
GUGAAAAUGCAGAGACGAAUUAGUAACCAACUGCCUGUUUUCCAGAAACUGAGUGGCUGCUGUGAACUCAGAACAGGUCGUGGCGAACUCAUCGUCGAAUGCUUGGUCGAACGAAGUAAAUCAAGCCGGUUUGUCGCCGUUAUUGAUUCGAGAGCUCAAGUAAUUGAGAAUAUAGGUGGUACCGCGAUAAAUCGUCCUAUAA